Molecule: ribosomal RNA, 1530 nt
Filed under: human gut metagenome
Description: bacterial LSU rRNA
Rfam family: Bacterial large subunit ribosomal RNA
Source: RNAcentral
GGAUGUUGGCUCAGAAGCAGCCACCAUUUAAAGAGUGCGUAAUAGCUCACUGGUCGAGAGACGCUGCGCCGAAAAUGUCCGGGGCUCAAGCACGGAACCGAAGCUAUGGCAUGAUAGCAAUAUCAUGGGUAGGGGAGCGUUCUUAUAAGGAAGAAGCAUGACCGGAAGGACAUGUGGACGAAUAAGAAGUGAGAAUGCCGGUAUGAGUAUCGAAAAGAAAGGUGAGAAUCCUUUCCACCGAAAGCCCGAGGGUUCCUGAGCAACGAUCGUCGACUCAGGGUAAGUCGGGACCUAAGCCGAGGCGAGAAGCGUAGGCGAUGGACAACAGGUUGAAAUUCCUGUACCGGAUCAAGUCGAUCGAGCGAAGGAGCGACGCAGGAGGGCACAUGAUCGCGCGGCUGGAAGAGCGCGUCCAAGUGCGUAUGUUGCAGCAGAGGAAAACCCCUGCAGCUAAAAGCAGAGACAUGAUGGGGAGUUAAAGGAAACUUUGACGAACUCAUGGAUCCCACACUGCCAAGAAAAACUUCUAGCGAGACAAGAUCCGCCCGUACCGUAAACCGACACAGGUAGGCGGGGAGAGAAUCCUAAGGUGCGCGGGAAAACCCUCGUUAAGGAACUCGGCAAAUUGCAUCCGUAACCUAGGGAGAAGGAUGGCCCCCUGUCAGUGAAGAGCAGAAACGCUCAGAGCUAAAAGGGGCGGCAGAAAAGAGGCCCAAGCAACUGUUUACCAAAAACACAGGUGCCUGCGAAAGCGAAAGCUGAAGUAUAGGUGCUGACGCCUGCCCGGUGCCGGAAGGUUAAGGAGAGAAGUUAGCGAAAGCGAAGCAUCGAACUGAAGCCCCGGUGAACGGCGGCCGUAACUAUAACGGUCCUAAGGUAGCGAAAUUCCUUGUCGGGUAAGUUCCGACCCGCAUGAAAGGCGUAAUGAUUUGGGCACUGUCUCAACGAGGGGCCCGGUGAAAUUGAAAUACCUGUGAAGAUGCAGGUUACCCGCGACUGGACAGAAAGACCCCAUGGAGCUUCACUGCAGCUUGAGAUUGAAUCCCGGUGACAGAUGCACAGGAUAGGUGGGAGGCGUCGAAGCAUUGCCCUAGGGCGGUGCGGAGCCGAUGUUGGGAUACCACCCUUCUGUUGCUGAGAUUCUAACGCGAGGAGUAACGACCCUGCGGACCCUCUCAGGCAGGCGGUUUGACUGGGGCGGUCGCCUCCGAAAGAGUAACGGAGGCGCCCAAAGGUUCCCUCAGGCCGGACAGAAACCGGCCGAAGAGUGCAAAGGCAGAAGGGAGCUUGACUGCGAGACCAACAAGUCGAGCAGAGACGAAAGUCGGGCUUAGUGAUCCGGUGGUACUGGGUGGAAAGGCCAUCGCUCAACGGAUAAAAGCUACCCUGGGGAUAACAGGCUAAUCUCUCCCAAGAGUUCAUAUCGACGGGGAGGUUUGGCACCUCGAUGUCGGCUCAUCACAUCCUGGGGCUGGAGUAGGUCCCAAGGGUUGGGCUGUUCGCCCAUUAAAGUGGUACGCGAGCUGGGUU